GACGAACGCUGGCGGCAUGCUUAACACAUGCAAGUCGAACGAGCUGAUUCCUUCGGGAUGAAAGCGAGUGGCGAACGGGUGAGUAAUGUAUGAGUAACCUGCCUCUGUCUACGGGAUAACAUUUGGAAACAAGUGCUAAUACGGUAUAAGACCACAGCACCGCAUGGUGCGGGGGUAAAAGAUUUAUCGGACAGAGAUGGACUCAUAUCCCAUUAGCUAGUUGGUGAGAUAAUAGCCCACCAAGGCGACGAUGGGUAGCCGAGCUGAGAGGCUGAUCGGCCACAUUGGAACUGAAACACGGUCCAGACUCCUACGGGAGGCAGCAGUGGGGAAUAUUGGGCAAUGGAGGAAACUCUGACCCAGCAAUGCCGCGUGAGCGAUGAAGGUCAUCGAUUGUAAAGCUCUUUUCCUGGGAACGAAACAAAUGACGGUACCCAGGGAAUAAGCCCCGGCUAACUACGUGCCAGCAGCCGCGGUAAUACGUAGGGGGCGAGCGUUGUCCGGAAUGACUGGGCGUAAAGGGUGCGUAGGUGGUUUAAUAAGUUAGAAGUGUAAUACCCAGGGCUUAACUCGGGUGCUGCUUCUAAAACUGUUAGGCUUGAGUGUAGUAGAGGAAAGCGGAAUUCAUUGUGUAGCGGUGGAAUGCGUAGAUAUAUUGAAGAACAUCAGUGGCGAAAGGCGGCUUUCUGUGACUAUAACUGACACUGAGGCACGAAAGCUGGGGGAGCAAACAGUGAUUAUAUACCUUAUGUAGUUCAAGGGCGAAAUCCACUGUUGGAUAUUCAGCUUUUUCGUUCUGUUCGACCUUGUGGGGGGGUCCCGGUAUCCUGCUUUUUGUUCCUUUAUGAGUGUUAAAUUACCUUUCUCUAUGUUUUUUACUUUCAGUUUUUGUUUGUAUUCUCCCCUUGCUGUUCUCCUACAUCUGUAGUGUCUGCUUUCUGUUCUGUUUUCUCUUCUCUUUCCCUUGCCUCGUUCCCCAUGCCCUGCCCUAUCCUAUUAUGCUAUCUAAUGUGCUUGUUUAUGUGUGUAUCUUCUUUACUGUUUGCCGUGUGUGUGCCCCUGCUAGCUGUUGCUAUGCGUGGUGUGUGUUGCUGUCUGUGAGAUGCUGAUGUGCUACUUUGCUUCCUAUGCCUUCUUCUGUUGUUCCUUGCUGUCCUCUGCUACUAUUCACUGUGUCCUGCAUAGCCUAUGCUGCUAUAUGCUGUACUAGCUUGCUUUACUCCUAUGUUGUUUGCCUGGUGGUUGCCCUAGUUCACUUCCCAUCUUCUACCUAGUUAUCUGUAUAGACCCCUGUAUGAGCCCCUCCUUGCGUGGACUGCUAGCCCCAGAGCUCCAGCUGCCCCUGAGGCUACUGUAGCCCUUCCCUAUGACCAUGUUCUGUACCCUG
This 1387-nucleotide ribosomal RNA is filed under the name uncultured Actinomycetaceae bacterium. RNAcentral's name for it is "bacterial SSU rRNA". The stretch from base 1 to 867 matches the Rfam family "Bacterial small subunit ribosomal RNA". The record is from RNAcentral. Lineage: Bacteria; Bacillati; Actinomycetota; Actinomycetes; Actinomycetales; Actinomycetaceae.